CUACGGGUGGCAGCAGUGGGGAAUAUUGCACAAUGGGCGCAAGCCUGAUGCAGCCAUGCCGCGUGUAUGAAGAAGGCCUUCGGGUUGUAAAGUACUUUCAGCGGGGAGGAAGGGAGUAAAGUUAAUACCUUUGCUCAUUGACGUUACCCGCAGAAGAAGCACCGGCUAACUCCGUGCCAGCAGCCGCGGUAAUACGGAGGGUGCAAGCGAUAAUCGGAAUUACUGGGCGUAAAGCGCACGCAGGCGGUUUGUUAAGUCAGAUGUGAAAUCCCCGGGCUCAACCUGGGAACUGCAUCUGAUACUGGCAAGCUUGAGUCUUGUAGAGGGGGGUAGAAUUCCAGGUGUAGCGGUGACAUGCGUAGAGAUCUGGAGUAAUACCGGUGGCGAAGGCGGCCCCCUGGACGAAGACUGACGCUCAGGUGCGAAAGCGUGGGGAGCAAACAGGAUUAGAUACCCUCGUAGUC
RNAcentral lists this ribosomal RNA (464 nucleotides) under uncultured bacterium. RNAcentral's name for it is "partial 16S ribosomal RNA". It matches the Rfam family "Bacterial small subunit ribosomal RNA", at positions 339 to 795 of the family's 1533-position model. The record is from RNAcentral.